Molecule: ribosomal RNA, 497 nt
Filed under: uncultured bacterium
Lineage: Bacteria
Description: partial 16S ribosomal RNA
Rfam family: Bacterial small subunit ribosomal RNA
Source: RNAcentral
GAUGAACGCUGGCGGCGUGCCUAAUACAUGCAAGUCGAGCGAACAGACGAGGAGCUUGCUCCUCUGACGUUAGCGGCGGACGGGUGAGUAACACGUGGAUAACCUACCUAUAAGACUGGGAUAACUUCGGGAAACCGGAGCUAAUACCGGAUAAUAUAUUGAACCGCAUUGUUCAAUAGUUAAAGACGGUUUUGCUGUCGCUUAUAGCUUGAUCCGCCCCGCAUUAGCUAGUUGGUAAGGUAACGGCUUACCAAGGCAACGAUGCGUAGCCGACCUGAGAGGGUGAUCGGCCACACUGGAACUGAGACACAGUCCAGACUCCUACGGGAGGAAGCAGUAGGGAAUCUUACGCAAUGGGCGAAAGCCUGACGGAGCAACGCCGCGUGAGUGAUGAAGGUCUUCGGAUGGUAAAACUCUGUUAUUAGGGAAGAACAAAUGUGUAAGUAACUAUGCACGUAUUGACGGUACCUAAUCAGAAAGCCACGGCUAACUACGUG